CUUUGAGUUCAUCGAUUACUUAAUGCUCCUUUUUUAGCACGAAAUCGUUUUUAGCGUUCAGCGUUCAGUUCUUGUUCUAUGGUUCAGUUCAAUAGUAUGUAGCAUAGAGUAAGUAAAAUAAAUACUUAUUCUACUUUCUCUAUGGUAUGUAGUCUGUGUUUGAGACCAUUUUGAGACAUAGGUUUCAGACGAGUGGCUCAUCGCAGAGGGGCAGCUAAACAAAGGACAAAUCCAACGUUGCCAUUUACCACGAUUCGUCAUUUGUAAUCUAACCCCACUUUUAUUCGUUGGCAGUUUAGACAAGGAAAKAACAAGCAAUGAACUGUAUACAAGUAAUAAAAAAAUAUUGACUUUUUGUCUGCCACAUUUAUUCUGCAUGUUUUUUGUUGCACUUAAAAACACACWCUUUAAACUUUGGAUGCGACUUCAGCGGUGAGGAAAAGAUUUUAAAACCAUGAACGAAUUAUAUGGAUUUUGCCCAAAAAUAAAUUGUAGAGAUAAGUAACUUGUGAUAAAUCUUAAAUAAUUUUAUUUAUGUCCACCGCAGUUGUGGACGAAACGUCAGGAAGAAAUUCCGAUAGACCACGGCUUCAAAGCCCGGAAAACAUUCCUAAAUGUAACAAAUGGAUAGUUUGAGAAAGAAAAUAAAUAAAAUAGUUGUUUCUAUAAAUAUUUAACUGAAUAAAUAUCGCAUCCUUGCAACCAUUUUAAAAUACUUUUAUAAGAACAUUUCGUACAAUACAUUUUUGUGUUUAUUACGAUCAGUGGCAGAUACUGUAAAUACCCCCCUGAGCAUACUUUUAAUUAUUUUUGCGACGUUCCGUAAACUGUAGAUUAAGUUUAAUAUGGUUUGCUUUGUUGUCUUUUUAAAAUACUAUUUAUUGUUGUUUUUAAGUGCAAUAAAAAACCUGCAAAAUGAAGGUUGUGGUAGACAAAAAGUCAAUAUUUCUUUAUUACUGCGCCCUCCCCUGAAGAAACUCUUAGAUCCCCCGCUGAUUACGAUUAGUAUCUGUUAAAAAUGUUUUGAGUACCUAAUAAUUUUUUAAACGUUAAUACAUUCUGUUUUUUUAGACUUACAUAUUUUAAAGCGUGGAGGACUGAGCAUACCUCUAGUUGUGUUAGUUAUUUAAUAAGCAAUGCAAUUUGUAAACCAUAUUCAUUUUGUCGGCUGCGGAAGAUGUUUUUAAGUUAAAUUAUGAAUGUUAUUGAGCUGAAUAUGUGCAACAGCUGCCCAAUUAUAAUUGGACUCAUAAUGACAAAAUGUUGAUUAUGUUAAAAAAAAAAAUUAUAUUUUGCCAGUACUACUCACUUCUUUAGACUUGUUGGAUUGUUAUGUAUACAUUUCAAUCGGGUUUAUUAUUAUUUGACCUAAC
Dendroctonus ponderosae (mountain pine beetle) is the source of this 1373-nucleotide long non-coding RNA. RefSeq lists it as uncharacterized. The record is from RefSeq and is a predicted model, not a curated record. NCBI's taxonomy places the organism in Eukaryota, Metazoa, Arthropoda, Insecta, Coleoptera, Curculionidae. The transcript is spliced from 2 exons.